CCAGAGUCGGGGCCGCCAGCCACCCGCAGAACGCACACGGAGCUACCUUGGGGCCGACGGCGCGGGGCCUCAUUCGGUGUCAGCCCCGGGAGCUGGCGCCUGGGGACCGCGCAGGCCGGCGGGGCCGCGCACCUGGGGCCCCAGGGCCGAGCGUUUCCUCCCGAGCGCCGGCCGUUUAUCGCGCAAAUCUCGCGGCGAAGAGGAGAGGCCGGAAGGGCGCCCCAGCCCCAGGGCUCCCGCCCCGCCGGGGCCUGCGGCUUUCGUUUCCCCGCAACGCUUCGCUUUCGUUUCCCGCUGGCGCCUGGCUCCCUCCAGGUUUCGUUUCCCGCCGGCGCCUGGUUCCCGCCGGGUUUCGUUUCCGAGGCGGGGCCGAGGGCGGUGUCGCUGAGGCGCCCAUGGCCUUCGCCCGCCCGCUCCUGCGCAGGCCACUGUCGGGGCCGCUGCUCGGGCGGCGCGGGGUCUGCGCUGGGGCCAUGGCUCCGCCGCGCCGCUUCGUCCUGGAGCUUCCCGACUGCACCCUGGCUCACUUCGCCCUAGGCGCCGACGCCCCCGGCGACGCAGACGCCCCCGACCCCCGCCUGGCGGCGCUGCUGGGGCCCCCGGAGCGCAGCUACUCGCUGUGCGUGCCCGUGACCCCGGACGCCGGCUGCGGGGCCCGGGUCCGGGCGGCGCGGCUGCACCAGCGCCUGCUGCACCAGCUUCGCCGCGGCCCCUUCCAGCGGUGCCAGCUGCUCAGGCUGCUCUGCUACUGCCCGGGCGGCCAGGCCGGCGGCGCACAGCAAGGCUUCCUGCUGCGCGACCCCCUGGAUGACCCUGACACCCGGCAAGCGCUGCUCGAGCUGCUGGGCGCCUGCCAGGAGGCACCACGCCCUCACCUGGGCGAGUUCGAGGCCGACCCACGCGGCCAGCUGUGGCAGCGCCUCUGGGAGGUGCAAGACGGCAGGCGGCUGCAGGUGGGCUGCGCACAGGUCGUGCCCGCCCCGGAGCCCCCGCUGCACCCGGUGGUGCCAGACUUGCCCAGUUCCGUGGUCUUCCCGGACCGGGAAGCCGCCCGGGCCGUUUUGGAGGAGUGUACCUCCUUUAUUCCUGAAGCCCGGGCGGUGCUUGACCUGGUCGACCAGUGCCCAAAACAGGUCCAGAAAGGAAAGUUCCAGGUUGUUGCCAUCGAAGGACUGGAUGCCACGGGUAAAACCACGGUGACCCAGUCAGUGGCAGAUUCACUUAAGGCUGUCCUUUUAAAGUCACCACCCUCUUGCAUUGGCCAGUGGAGGAAGAUCUUUGAUGAUGAACCAACUAUCAUUAGAAGAGCUUUUUACUCUUUGGGCAAUUAUAUUGUGGCCUCCGAAAUAGCUAAAGAAUCUGCCAAAUCUCCUGUGAUUGUAGACAGGUACUGGCACAGUACGGCCACCUAUGCCAUAGCCACUGAGGUGAGUGGGGGUCUCCAGCACCUGCCCCCAGCCCAUCACCCUGUAUACCAGUGGCCGGAGGACCUGCUCAAACCUGACCUCAUCCUGCUGCUCACCGUGAAUCCUGAGGAAAGGUUGCAGAGGCUGCAGGGCCGGGGCAUGGAGAAGACCAGGGAAGAAGCAGAACUCGAGGCCAACAGCGUGUUUCGUCAAAAGGUAGAAAUGUCCUACCAGCGGAUGGAAAAUCCUGGCUGCCAUGUGGUUGAUGCCAGCCCCUCCAGAGAAAAGGUCCUGCAGACGGUAUUAAGCCUAAUCCAAAAUAGUUUUAAUGAACCGUAGUUACUCUGGCCAGGUGCCACGUCUAACUACAUUAGAUGUUGCUUGAAACAUCUACAUCCACCAUUUGUUGUGCAGUGUUCCCAAAUUUCUGUUGUACAAGCAUGUUGUGUGGCAGAAAACUGGAGACCAGGCAUCUUAAUUUUACUUCAGCCGUCGUACCCUCUUCUGGCUGAUGGAGCCGUCAUCACAAAGGACCCUCUCAUCAUGUUCCGGUGAGAGGCCAGCGACUGCUUUCUUCCUGGCAUAGUAAACAUUUUCUUGGAACAUAUGUUUCACUUAAUCACUACCAAAUAUCUGGAAGACCUGUCUUACUCAGACAGCACCAGGUGUACAGAAGCAGCAGAAAGAUCUUCCAGAUCAGCAGGGAGGCCCCGGAGCCUCUCCUUCUCCUACACUGGCAUGCUGAUGAGAUCGUGACAUGCCCACAUUGGCUUCUUCCACAUCUGGUUGCACUCGUCAUGAUGGGCUCGCUGCAUCUUCCUCAGUCCAAAUUCUAGAGCCAAGUGUUCCUGCAGAGGCUGUCUAUGUGUCCUGGCUGUCCAAGGACACUCCUGCAGAGCCAUUUUUGGAUGAAAUUGGAGAACCUGAACAUGAUUGUGAAAAAAUUGUGAUGCAAACCUAUGCAGCCAGAGAGGACGUCCAGGAAACUCCUCUAGAAAACUGAGACUGGGCUCUCUUUACAGGUCCCAGCUGGGAGGCACCUUAUGCCAUCCUUCUCUCCACCCGCUUGGCAGUGAAGUUUGUGGGACUGGAAUCUUGGAUCCAUCACACUCGAGUCAAGGCCUGGAAUGACCCCUGAAAUCCCAGAAGAACAUCUCAGAUAUCAGUGUGAAAAAUUCGGGGAUUUCAAACUGAAAAUACAAAAGAUAAGUAAAUGAGUGGGAACUCUCUGUUCAGUUCAAUCCCACCCUUACCUUACCAGAUACUAAAGUCAUUUCUACCUUUCCUCUUGAGAUUUGCUGUUAGAUAUUAGAACGUCUCUUUGUCACAUACUUACAGGGAGAUUGUGAUUAUCCAUGGGAUUCCAUUCAUAACCUCAUAAACCACCCCCACGAAGAAAUUAUAUAUCUCGGUGAGUAAGAUUUAAAGUGGAAGUUUAUUACUUCACACAUAUGGGAAUUGUAUUCACCUUGCUCUUUGCAGUAGGAGUAUAUACUGUGGCAUCUUCUAAGUGGAAUAUUGGGAAAAGAGUCUCAAUUGCCAUAAUCUUUUGCUUAGUUAUUAUUCAUAUAGCAGGGAUAGUAGUCACAGAUAAGAGGUAAACAUGAAGAUUUUGUUACUAUCAAGUUUACUAGCAUUCACUGUUAGAUGUAGCAAUGUCUCACAUUCUUUGGCCCCUACUAUAUCAGAUAUUACUGAUCUGUACAACAAGACUGAUUACUGGGUUUGUCCUGAACAAUUUACUCAGUUUAAUAACACGAGUGGACUCUUUGAUGAUUCAGAACUCACUAUCUUAGGCUUUCCCUCUGAUGGCUUUACCUUAAAUCAUCAAGGACCUAAUAGGUAUAAAGGGAACAAGGUACGGGAGCAUUUUUAACUCCUCCCAGAAAGACACACCCCCUGAGGGUAAAACUCACACCCUUAGACUAGGUGAAGUUGAUAGAAUGAUAGCCAAUGCCUGUCUCUGCUUUAAGAGUAAAGGAAAAGGACCAUACUUGGGAAACCUUAAAUAUUGCAACAGUAUGCUUGUAACUUCUGAGACCACAGAGAUCUGGAGACUAAGAAGGAACAAGGGUGACACCAAACAUUGGGAGGGACUGGAAAAAUUUUAACAAUCUAGCCAGACCUCCCAGGUGGAGUUCCCAAUGGGAAUGUCUACCCCGGGUAGAAAUGCCACCCCUCGCCAACCUUAUUAUCAGGUAAUAAAUAACACAUGGUCCUUCCCAAACAUGCCCACACGUGGAAUCCUGGACCCUGGUAUGAUAUUUGAUAAUGACAGUGAUUGCAAAUUUGUGGAUGAACA
RNA transcript from Nomascus leucogenys (northern white-cheeked gibbon), 3708 nucleotides. It is a transcript of the gene named cytidine/uridine monophosphate kinase 2, with no coding region annotated. The record is from RefSeq and is a predicted model, not a curated record. NCBI's taxonomy places the organism in Eukaryota, Metazoa, Chordata, Mammalia, Primates, Hylobatidae.